UACAGAGGGGGCAAGCGUUGUUCGGAAUUACUGGGCGUAAAGGGCGCGUAGGCGGCCUUCUAAGUCGAACGUGAAAUCCCCGGGCUCAACCCGGGAACUGCGUCCGAGACUGGAAGGCUUGAAUCCGGGAGAGGGAUGUGGAAUUCCAGGUGUAGCGGUGAAAUGCGUAGAUAUCUGGAGGAACAUCGGUGGCGAAGGCGGCAUCCUGGACCGGCAUUGACGCUGAGGAGCGAAAGCCAGGGGAGCAAACGGG
Molecule: ribosomal RNA, 253 nt
Filed under: uncultured bacterium
Lineage: Bacteria
Description: partial 16S ribosomal RNA
Rfam family: Bacterial small subunit ribosomal RNA
Source: RNAcentral